GACGAACGCUGGCGGCGUGCUUAACACAUGCAAGUCGAGCGGUAAGGCCCUUUCGGGGGUACGACGAGCGGCGAACGGGUGAGUAACACGUGGGUGACCUCGCCCUCAGCUCUGGGAGUAAGCCUGGGAAACUGGGUCUAAUACUGGAGUAUGACUCCACGGUGCAUGUCGUGGGGUGGAAAGCCUUGUGCGGCUGAGGAU
Molecule: ribosomal RNA, 201 nt
Filed under: uncultured bacterium
Lineage: Bacteria
Description: partial 16S ribosomal RNA
Rfam family: Bacterial small subunit ribosomal RNA
Source: RNAcentral